RNAcentral lists this ribosomal RNA (957 nucleotides) under Triticum aestivum (bread wheat). Its description in RNAcentral is "partial small subunit ribosomal RNA". Lineage: Eukaryota; Viridiplantae; Streptophyta; Magnoliopsida; Poales; Poaceae. The record is from RNAcentral.
AUGACUAGCUCUUUCAAGGAUAAACUUGGAGAAGGUGGAUAUGGCACGGUAUUUAGGGGUAGCCUACAAGAUGGCUGUGCGGUUGCAGUGAAGCUCCUAAAAGUUUCCAAAGGCAAUGGAGAGGAGUUCCUAAAUGAGGCAAUUAGCAUUUGUAGGACAUCACAUAUCAACAUUGUCGGUCUGCUCGGUUUUUUCUUAGAAGCAGCUAAGCGGGCCCUUGUUUAUGAGUAUAUGGCUAAUGGUUCACUGGAGAAAUAUAUAUACACAGAGAAUUCAGAUCUAGUUAUUGGAUGGGACAAGUUACAGCAAAUAGCACUUGGGCUCGCACGAGGAUUGGAAUAUUUGCAUCAAGGAUGUAGUACUCGUAUCAUCCAUUUUGACAUCAAGCCUCAGAAUAUACUUCUAGGUCAAGAUUUUUGUCCCAAAAUUGCAGAUUUCGGUUUAGCGAAACUGUGUCACCUCAAGGCUGGUAGCAUCCUCUCUGUCGCCGAAGCAAGAGGUACCAUUGGAUUCAUUGCUCCAGAAGUAUUCUCUAUAGGUUUUGGAGUCGGUUCUACAAAUUCAGAUGUCUAUAGCUAUGGAAUGAUGCUCCUGGAAAUGGUAGGGGGAAUGAUAAAUAAAGGAAAAGGGAAUACCGAGAGCUCAAGUGAUGUGUAUUUUCCAAACAGGAUUUAUGACAGUAUAGCAGAACAGGUACAAAGUUGUGAAGUCAUCUGCGACCUUAAAAAGGCCAUGAGAAAGAUGGCCUUAGUCGGCCUAUGGUGCAUACAAACUAACCCCGAAAACCGUCCUUCAAUGAGCAAGGUGAUUGAUAUGUUGGAAAAGAGAAUCAAUGAAUUGGAGAUGCCACCGAAGCCGUUCCUUUCUUGUACCUCGAUCCCGUCAUACUUGUCGUCGCAUACAAGUUAUGGUUACAGAUCAUCAUAUUGCUCCGCAUCCCCUGCUCUGUUACCAUGA